CAGAAGAGUCACCGGCUAACUCCGUGCCAGCAGCCGCGGUAAUACGGAGGGUGCGAGCGUUAAUCGGAAUAACUGGGCGUAAAGGGCACGCAGGCGGACUUUUAAGUGAGGUGUGAAAUCCCCGGGCUUAACCUGGGAAUUGCAUUUCAGACUGGGGGUCUAGAGUACUUUAGGGAGGGGUAGAAUUCCACGUGUAGCGGUGAAAUGCGUAGAGAUGUGGAGGAAUACCGAAGGCGAAGGCAGCCCCUUGGGAAUGUACUGACGCUCAUGUGCGAAAGCGUGGGGAGCAAACAGGAUUAGAUACCCUGGUAGUCCACGCUGUAAACGCUGUCGAUUUGGGGAUUGGGCCUUGAGCUUGGUGCCCGAAGCUAACGUGAUAAAUCGACCGCCUGGGGAGUACGGCCGCAAGGUUAAAACUCAAAUGAAUUGACGGGGGCCCGCACCAGCGGUGGAGCCAUGUGGUUUAAUUCGAUGCAACGCCGAAGAACCUUACCUACUCUUGACAUCCAUGGAAUCUUGUAGAGAUAUGAGAGUGCCUUCGGGAACCAUGAGACAGGUGCUGCAUGGCUGUCGUCAGCUCGUGUUGUGAAAUGUUGGGUUAAGUCCCGCAACGAGCGCAACCCUUAUCCUUUGUUGCCAGCGAUUAGGUCGGGAACUCAAAGGAGACUGCCGGUGAUAAACCGGAGGAAGGUGGGGAUGACGUCAAGUCAUCAUGGGAAUAC
This 722-nucleotide ribosomal RNA is filed under the name uncultured Haemophilus sp. Its description in RNAcentral is "bacterial SSU rRNA". It matches the Rfam family "Bacterial small subunit ribosomal RNA", at positions 482 to 1205 of the family's 1533-position model. Lineage: Bacteria; Pseudomonadati; Pseudomonadota; Gammaproteobacteria; Pasteurellales; Pasteurellaceae. The record is from RNAcentral.